RNAcentral lists this ribosomal RNA (541 nucleotides) under uncultured marine eukaryote. RNAcentral describes it as "SSU rRNA". It matches the Rfam family "Eukaryotic small subunit ribosomal RNA", at positions 1 to 548 of the family's 1831-position model. The record is from RNAcentral.
AACCUGGUUGAUCCUGCCAGUAGUCAUAUGCUUGUCUCAAAGACUAAGCCAUGCAUGUCUAAGUAUAAGUAUUAUACAGCGAAACUGCGAAUGGCUCAUUAAAACAGUUACAAUUUAUUUGAUAAUCGAAUUUACAUGGAUAACCGUGGUAAUUCUAGAAGCUAAUACAUGCUGGUAGGCCCGACUUUUUGGAAGGGCGGUAUUUAUUAGAUAACAAACCAAUAUUCCUCUGGUCUAUUGUGGUGAAUCAUAAUAACUGAUCGAAUCGCAAGGUUUUUAACCGCGAUAAGUCAUUCAAGUUUCUGCCCCAUCAGCUUUCGAUGGUAGUGUAUUGGACUACCAUGGCUUUUACGGGUAACGGAGGAUUAGGGUUCGAUUCCGGAGAGGGAGCCUGAGAAACGGCUACCACAUCUAAGGAAGCAGCAGGCGCGUAAAUUACCCAAUCCUGACUCAGGGAGGUAGUGACAAGAAAUAACGGACCGAGGCCUUCGGGCUUCGGGAUUGCAAUGAGCCGAAUUUACACCCCUUAGCGAAGAUCGAU